This 145-nucleotide non-coding RNA is filed under the name Otolemur garnettii (small-eared galago). Lineage: Eukaryota; Metazoa; Chordata; Mammalia; Primates; Galagidae. The record is from Rfam by way of RNAcentral.
GCCAGGCGUUGUGGCGGGCGCCUGUAAUCCCAGCUACUUGGGAGGCUGAGGCAGGAGACUCGCUUGAGCCCAGGAGUUGGAGGUUGCUGUGAGCUGUGAUGCCAUGGCAGUCUGCCCAGGGCAACAGCUUGAGACUCUGUCUCCA